AUUGAACGCUGGCGGCAUGCCUUACACAUGCAAGUCGAACGGUAACGGGCCUUCGUGUGCCGACGAGUGGCGAACGGGUGAGUAAUACAUCGGAACGUGCCCGAUCGUGGGGGAUAACGAGGCGAAAGCUUUGCUAAUACCGCAUACGAUCUACGGAUGAAAGCAGGGGACCGCAAGGCCUUGCGCAGACCGAGCGGCCGAUGGCAGAUUAGGUAGUUGGUGGGAUAAAAGCUUACCAAGCCGACGAUCUGUAGCUGGUCUGAGAGGAUGAUCAGCCACACUGGGACUGAGACACGGCCCAGACUCCUACGGGAGGCAGCAGUGGGGAAUUUUGGACAAUGGGCGCAAGCCUGAUCCAGCCAUGCCGCGUGCAGGAUGAAGGCCUUCGGGUUGUAAACUGCUUUUGUACGGAACGAAAAGCCUUCUUUUAAUACAGGAGGGUCAUGACGGUACCGUAAGAAUAAGCACCGGCUAACUACGUG
Molecule: ribosomal RNA, 482 nt
Filed under: uncultured bacterium
Lineage: Bacteria
Description: partial 16S ribosomal RNA
Rfam family: Bacterial small subunit ribosomal RNA
Source: RNAcentral